RNAcentral lists this ribosomal RNA (374 nucleotides) under uncultured bacterium. RNAcentral's name for it is "bacterial SSU rRNA". It matches the Rfam family "Bacterial small subunit ribosomal RNA", at positions 28 to 404 of the family's 1533-position model. The record is from RNAcentral.
AUUGAACGCUGGCGGCAUGCUUUACACAUGCAAGUCGAACGGGGUGGUGGGGCAACCCGCCAUUCAGUGGCGAACGGGUGAGUAAUGCAUCGGAACGUGUCCCGUAGUGGGGGAUAACCCGGCGAAAGCCGGACUAAUACCGCAUAUGCUCUACGGAGGAAAGCGGGGGACCUGAAAGGGCCUCGCGCUAUGGGAGCGGCCGAUGUCCGAUUAGCUUGUUGGUGGGGUAAUGGCCUACCAAGGCGACGAUCGGUAGCUGGUCUGAGAGGAUGAUCAGCCACACUGGGACUGAGACACGGCCCAGACUCCUACGGGAGGCAGCAGUGGGGAAUUUUGGACAAUGGGGGCAACCCUGAUCCAGCCAUGCCGCGUGC